This 496-nucleotide ribosomal RNA is filed under the name uncultured bacterium. Its description in RNAcentral is "partial 16S ribosomal RNA". It matches the Rfam family "Bacterial small subunit ribosomal RNA", at positions 28 to 507 of the family's 1533-position model. The record is from RNAcentral.
GACGAACGCUGGCGGCGUGCCUAAUACAUGCAAGUUGAGCGCUGAAGGUUGGUACUUGUACCGACUGGAUGAGCAGCGAACGGGUGAGUAACGCGUGGGGAAUCUGCCUUUGAGCGGGGACAACAUUUGGAAACGAAUGCUAAUACCGCAUAAAAACUUUAAACACAAGUUUUAAGUUUGAAAGAUGCAAUUGCAUCACUCAAAGAUGAUCCCGCGUUGUAUUAGCUAGUUGGUGAGGUAAAGGCUCACCAAGGCGAUGAUACAUAGCCGACCUGAGAGGGUGAUCGGCCACAUUGGGACUGAGACACGGCCCAAACUCCUACGGGAGGCAGCAGUAGGGAAUCUUCGGCAAUAGACGAAAGUCUGACCGAGCAACGCCGCGUGAGUGAAGAAGGUUUUCGGAUCGUAAAACUCUGUUGGUAGAGAAGAACGUUGGUGAGAGUGGAAAGCUCAUCAAGUGACGGUAACUACCCAGAAAGGGACGGCUAACUACGUG